RNAcentral lists this ribosomal RNA (734 nucleotides) under Funneliformis mosseae. RNAcentral's name for it is "eukaryotic LSU rRNA". It matches the Rfam family "Eukaryotic large subunit ribosomal RNA", at positions 72 to 649 of the family's 3401-position model. Lineage: Eukaryota; Fungi; Glomeromycota; Glomeromycetes; Glomerales; Glomeraceae. The record is from RNAcentral.
AGAUUCCCUCAGUAACGGCGAGCGAAGAGGGAUAAGCUCAAAUUUUAAAUCUGUUGGGUUCCACUUAACAGAGUUGUAUUUUGAAGAAACGUUUUCUGCAUCCAGGAUUAGCCUAAAUCCUUUGGGAUAAGGUAUCAUGGAGGGUGAGAAUCCCGUUCAUGGUUAAUCUUAAGGAAGCUCUACGAUACGUUUUCCAAGAGUCGAGUUGUUUGGGAUUGCAGCUCAAAAUGGGAGGUAAAUUUCUCCUAAGGCUAAAUAUUGGCGAGAGACCGAUAGCGAACAAGUACCGUGAGGGAAAGAUGAAAAGAACUUUGAAAAGAGAGUUAAACAGUACGUGAAAUUGUUGAAAGGGAAACGAUUGAAGUCAGUCAUACCAACGGGAAAUCAACCUUUUGAGCUUGAUUUCGUGGGUUUUGAAGAGUUUCAAAGCCUUCGGAUUCGCGAGAUUGGGAUCUCUCGGUGUACUUUCUCGUACGGUUAGUCAACAUCGGUUUUGAAUGUCAUAAAAUGACUGGAGGAAUGUAGCUUCGAUCUCGUAUUGAAGUGUUAUAGCCUUUGGUAGAUGUGAUGUUUGAGACCGAGGAUUGCAACGGAUACCCUUCAGGGCUAUUCGUCUGAUCUCUGAUACGUUGCCUUGAUGUUGAAAGCUUGCUUAUGAUGUUAGGGUAUUACGGUCAAAAGGUUAGAACGAAUUACAUUCGUUAAGGAUGUUGACGUAAUGACUUUAAACGACC